Molecule: long non-coding RNA, 295 nt
Organism: Xenopus tropicalis (tropical clawed frog)
Lineage: Eukaryota; Metazoa; Chordata; Amphibia; Anura; Pipidae
Exons: 3
Source: RefSeq, a predicted model, not a curated record
GAUACACACUGAGAGGUGUCUGUGAAUCCGGCAUACAGGAGUCUACGUGUCUGCAGUUGCAUGUGCAGAAGUCUGUAAUAUUACUGCAAUUGAUAUGUCACUGCCAGACCUGUUAGAAAGGCAAAAGUGCAGCAUUACAAUGACAUCAUUCCAGAAAUAAAAAGUCAAAAGACCAACAAGGAAUUACAACUUUUCCAGUCAAACAAGAAGUUCCACAAUUCACCUACAAAGAUUAGGUCAAGGGCAAUGUUUAAAAAAACAACUACAGAAGCAAUGCCAACAAUACCUACAGAGA